GAUGAACGCUGGCGGCGUGCCUAAUACAUGCAAGUCGAGCGAACGGACGAGAAGCUUGCUUCUCUGAUGUUAGCGGCGGACGGGUGAGUAACACGUGGAUAACCUACCUAUAAGACUGGGAUAACUUCGGGAAACCGGAGCUAAUACCGGAUAAUAUUUUGAACCGCAUGGUUCAAAAGUGAAAGACGGUCUUGCUGUCACUUAUCGAUGGAUCCGCGCUGCAUUAGCUAGUUGGUAAGGUAACGGCUUACCAAGGCAACGAUGCAUAGCCGACCUGAGAGGGUGUACGGCCACACUGGGACUGAGACACGGUCCAGACUCCUACGGGAGGCAGCAGUAGGGAAUCUUCCGCAAUGGGCGAAAGCCUGACGGAGCAACGCCGCGUGAGUGAUGAAGGUCUUCGGAUCGUAAAACUCUGUUAUUAGGGAAGAACAUAUGUGUAAGUAACUGUGCACAUCUUGACGGUACCUAAUCAGAAAGCCACGGCUAACUACGUG
RNAcentral lists this ribosomal RNA (497 nucleotides) under uncultured bacterium. RNAcentral describes it as "partial 16S ribosomal RNA". It matches the Rfam family "Bacterial small subunit ribosomal RNA", at positions 28 to 507 of the family's 1533-position model. The record is from RNAcentral.